GAUUAUAUUUGCUAGAAAGAAAUGACAGGAAGCACGUCCUGUUCACAUCCUCGCAAGGCGCUUCGAAACUACUCAUAUUCUGAUAUACUCCCGUACACAUUGCCGACGGCCCAUACUCAUAUUCUGAUAUACUCCCAUACACAUUGCCGACGGCCCAUACUCAUAUUCUGAUAUACUCCCAUACACAGUAUAUAUAUAAACCAAUAACAGUUGUUGCCCAACAACAGAUACAGAGUAGGAUACAGACCACGGCCCCAUACACAUUCACAACACACACUUGACUGAGCCCCUAGUGCUGAAGCUUGGAAC
RNAcentral lists this long non-coding RNA (309 nucleotides) under Brachypodium distachyon (stiff brome). RNAcentral describes it as "long non-coding RNA (BDIS_LNC001616)". Lineage: Eukaryota; Viridiplantae; Streptophyta; Magnoliopsida; Poales; Poaceae. The record is from RNAcentral.